AGUUUGAUCCUGGCUCAGAUUGAACGCUGGCGGAAUGCUUUACACAUGCAAGUCGAACGGCAGCACGGAGAGCUUGCUCUCUGGUGGCGAGUGGCGAACGGGUGAGUAAUAUAUCGGAACGUGUCCAAUAAUGGGGGAUAACGAGUCGAAAGAUUCGCUAAUACCGCAUACGCCCUUCGGGGGAAAGCAGGGGAUCGUAAGACCUUGCGUUAAUGGAGCGGCCGAUAUCUGAUUAGCUUGUUGGUGAGGUAAAGGCUCACCAAGGCGACGAUCAGUAGCUGGUUUGAGAGAACGACCAGCCACACUGGAACUGAGACACGGUCCAGACUCCUACGGGAGGCAGCAGUGGGGAAUUUUGGACAAUGGGGGCAACCCUGAUCCAGCCAUUCCGCGUGAGUGAAGAAGGCCUUCGGGUUGUAAAGCUCUUUCGCAAGGGAAGAAAACUUAUGAUCGAAUAAAUCAUGAGGUUGACGGUACCUUGAUAAGAAGCACCGGCUAACUACGUGCCAGCAGCCGCGGUAAUACGUAGGGUGCGAGCGUUAAUCGGAAUUACUGGGCGUAAAGCGUGCGCAGGCGGUUUUGUAAGUCGGAUGUGAAAUCCCCGGGCUCAACCUGGGAACUGCGUUCGAAACUGCAAGGCUAGAGUGUGUCAGAGGGGGGUAGAAUUCCACGUGUAGCAGUGAAAUGCGUAGAGAUGUGGAGGAAUACCAAUGGCGAAGGCAGCCCCCUGGGAUAACACUGACGCUCAUGCACGAAAGCGUGGGGAGCAAACAGGAUUAGAUACCCUGGUAGUCCACGCCCUAAACGAUGUCAACUAGUUGUUGGUAGAGUAAAAUCUAUGAGUAACGUAGCUAACGCGUGAAGUUGACCGCCUGGGGAGUACGGUCGCAAGAUUAAAACUCAAAGGAAUUGACGGGGCCCGCACAAGCGGUGGAUUAUUGUGGAAUA
Molecule: ribosomal RNA, 948 nt
Filed under: uncultured bacterium
Lineage: Bacteria
Description: bacterial SSU rRNA
Rfam family: Bacterial small subunit ribosomal RNA
Source: RNAcentral